AGAGUUUGAUCCUGGCUCAGGGUGAACGCUAGGGGUAUGCUUAACACAUGCGAGUUGAACGAAAAAAGGUAAUUCUUUUUUAGUGGCGUACGGGUGAGUAAUACAUAGGAACUUACCUUUUUGUUCAGUUUAAAAUUCUGAAUAUUAAAGAAAUAAUUUCGCAGAGAGAUAGGCCUAUGGAAGAUUAGGUAGUUGGUAGGGUAAUAGCUUACCAAGCCUUUGAUCUUUAGCUGUACUGAGAGGUUGGUCAGCCACACUGGGACUGAGACAAGGCCCAGGCUUCAUUGGAAGCCAGCAGUGAGGAAUUUUGGACAAUGAGCGAAAGCUUGAUCCAGCAAUACUACAUGAGUGAUGACAGCUUUCAAGUUGUAAAACUCUUUAGUUGAGGAGGAUAAUGACAGUACUCAACUGAAUAGCCCCGGCUAACUUCGUGCCAGCAGCCGCGGUAAGACGAAGGGGGCGAGCGUUACCCGGAAUGACUGGGCGUAAAGGGUCCGUAGGCAGCUUUUUUCGUUAAGGGUAAAACUAAAAAGCUCAACUUUUUAGUGCCUUUAAUACUUAAAUGCUUAGAGUUUGAAAGAAGAUAGCAGAAUUUCACAUGGAGGGGUGAUAUCCGUAGAUAUGUGAAGGAAUACCAGAGGCGAAGGCGGCUAUCUAGGUCAAUACUGACGCUGAGGGACGAAAGCAUGGGGAGCAAACAGGAUUAGAUACCCUGGUAGUCC
RNAcentral lists this ribosomal RNA (722 nucleotides) under uncultured bacterium. Its description in RNAcentral is "bacterial SSU rRNA". It matches the Rfam family "Bacterial small subunit ribosomal RNA", at positions 8 to 796 of the family's 1533-position model. The record is from RNAcentral.